RNAcentral lists this ribosomal RNA (273 nucleotides) under uncultured bacterium. RNAcentral describes it as "partial 16S ribosomal RNA". It matches the Rfam family "Bacterial small subunit ribosomal RNA", at positions 524 to 796 of the family's 1533-position model. The record is from RNAcentral.
UACGUAGGUGGCAAGCGUUGUCCGGAUUUAUUGGGUUUAAAGGGUGCGUAGGCGGCCUAUUAAGUCAGUUCUGAAAUAUCCCGGCUUAACCGGGAGGGUGGGAUUGAUACUGAUGGGCUUGAGUGGAAUCGAGGUAGGCGGAAUUGACGGUGUAGCGGUGAAAUGCUUAGAUAUCGUCAAGAACACCUAUUGCGAAGGCAGCUUACUAAGCUUUAACUGACGCUGAGGCACGAAAGUGUGGGGAUCAAACAGGAUUAGAUACCCUCGUAGUCC